Molecule: ribosomal RNA, 233 nt
Filed under: uncultured bacterium
Lineage: Bacteria
Description: partial 16S ribosomal RNA
Rfam family: Bacterial small subunit ribosomal RNA
Source: RNAcentral
UAACCUGCCUUGGAGUGGGGAAUAACAGUUGGAAACAACUGCUAAUACCGCAUGAUGCAGUUGGGUCGCAUGGCUCUGACUGCCAAAGAUUUAUCGCUCUGAGAUGGACUCGCGUCUGAUUAGCUAGUUGGUGAGGUAACGGCUCACCAAGGCGACGAUCAGUAGCCGGACUGAGAGGUUGGCCGGCCACAUUGGGACUGAGACACGGCCCAGACUCCUACGGGAGGCAGCAG